GUCACGUUAAGUGAAACCUACAUUAUUCGAUACUAUUCUUGAUGAGUGUUAAAAUUUUGAAAGCAUAAGCUUAAUAUUUCUUUUGAGGAGAUUCCUAAUUAGUUUGAUCUCACUGGCUUAUUUAUCAUAUAAAAUGUCUCUUACAUGCAUCAACAUACAUACACAUGCAUAAACAUACAUAUAAAAUGAAACAUUUAUAGUCCCUAGCAUAAUUAUUCUCUCGAUCCAAUGAGGAAACCUAAGCUAAACCUAAUAAGAUUUACGUUUCUCCAAUCUAGAUCUCCAUGGUUUUACUUAUAUGAUGUUGUCUUCUUUUUUUCUUCGUUUCAUUACAUUACAUCAAAGAAUACUUCUUUUACAUACGAGGGUGUGAGAUGAGGAAAAAAGUUACAUCACGAAUAGAGUGUGCCUUCAAUCUCAGUGCUAGCUGCUACAAAUCAAAACUUUGAAUGUGUAUGUGUGUGUGUGUGUGUAUGUAUGUGUGUUUGUGUGUGUGUUUGUGAUAGAUAUAUAGAUAGAUAGAUAGAUAGAUAGAUAGAUA
RNAcentral lists this long non-coding RNA (541 nucleotides) under Lathyrus oleraceus (garden pea). Its description in RNAcentral is "Pisum sativum (pea) long non-coding RNA (PSAT_LNC025544)". The record is from RNAcentral. Lineage: Eukaryota; Viridiplantae; Streptophyta; Magnoliopsida; Fabales; Fabaceae.